Bombus impatiens (common eastern bumble bee) is the source of this 783-nucleotide long non-coding RNA. RefSeq lists it as uncharacterized. The record is from RefSeq and is a predicted model, not a curated record. The transcript has 3 exons. Lineage: Eukaryota; Metazoa; Arthropoda; Insecta; Hymenoptera; Apidae.
UUUACAAAAAUAUGAAGCUGCAUAAAAUAUAUUACUAGUUACUAAAAAAAUUUAAUAAGUUUUCAACGUGGGAAAAAAUAUAUGAAAUUACAGUCAGAAGUCAGAAAUCAUGCAACAAUUAAUUACCUGAUCAUUUUUUGUUAUUAAUACCAAUCAAUUAUUAUAAUUUUUGUCUACAAGAUAUGUAGUUGGUGACAAUAGCAGAUGGUGCAAAAUAUAUAAAUAGUAAAUAUAUUAAUUAAUUUGUGAACUGAAAUGAAUAAUUUGGCUUGUAAGUUAGGAAACAAUAUAUGCAACUAUUAAGUGUUAAAUAAUUCCCACGUUGUACGAAUAAAACGAACAAAUAAGUCAAUGUAACAGUAACCAAUUUGUUGAAAUGUGUAUUAUUAUCAUGGGUUUCCAUUGACUUUAUGCAUUGAAAUUCCAUUUUAAUGUUUUAAGUGAAAAUUUUUCUAUUCCUGCAUUUAAUAUUGUUACUAGUCUAAUUUAUCUUAUCGAUAUACAUAAUUUUAAGAAAUUUAACGCAUUGCAUUUUGUAAAAGAAAAGAAUUAAUUCAAGCAUUCGUUCGAAAUUGUAAGUAGAGUGGAGAAUGUUAAUAGAUGUAACGAGCUUUUUGUAAACUUUAGUAUAUGUACAUACAUAGUCACAAAAGAACUUACCGAACGUGUAGGAACUCAAAAUGCUAAAUUUUUUAAUUACCUAGGUACUUGUACAAAUAGUAAUUAACGAAAGCUAUGUAACCCGUUCUAAUUAAAACACCGUUUAUGUAACUUUACUUUUUA